This 396-nucleotide ribosomal RNA is filed under the name uncultured bacterium. RNAcentral describes it as "partial 16S ribosomal RNA". It matches the Rfam family "Bacterial small subunit ribosomal RNA", at positions 523 to 918 of the family's 1533-position model. The record is from RNAcentral.
CUACGUAGGUGGCGAGCGUUGUCCGGAUUUACUGGGUGUAAAGGGCGCGUAGGCGGUUAUGCAAGUCAGUCUUAAAAGUUCGAGGCUUAACCUCGUGAUGGGAUUGAAACUGUGUAACUGGAGUAUAGGUGAGGAAAGUGGGAUUCCUAGUGUAGCGGUGAAAUGGGUAGAUAUUAGGAGGAACACCAGUGGCGAAGGAGGCUUGCUGGACGACAACUGACGCUGAGGCGCGAAAGCGUGGGGAGCAAACAGGAUUAGAUUCCCUGGUAGUCCACGCCGUAAACGAUGAAUACUAGGUGUCGGGUUUCUAUAGAGAUUCGGUGCCGCAGCAAACGCAAUAAGUAUUCCACCUGGGGAGUACGUUCGCAAGAAUGAAACUCAAAUGAAUUGACGGGG